ACUCAACUCGCAGGGGGAUACUAAUAUAUCUAUGCCUCAGUAUUCAGGUGAUGUGACUCUCCUGCCUGGUUCUGCCCACAGUAGCCAGAACAUGUGUGGGACUGUGAAUCUCAUCCCUGGAACUUCCUAUUAGUUCUCACUAUGUUGCCCAGGCUGGAGUGCACUAGCUAGUCAUAAACACAAUCAUGGUGCAUUGCAACCUGGACUCAAAGGAUCCUCCUGCCUUAGCCUCCUUAAUAGCUGGGACUAAAGGCACAUGUCUCCACAACCGGCUAUGUUUUUAAAAACCACCUUUACACUACUGCACAUUUUUGGACAUUAGAAAACAAACAUAUUUUGACUCUCAAGAAAAAAGUACUUGGUGGCACAUUAAAGAAUGAGUCAAUGAGUUUACAAAACACAAGAGGCAGGGUGCAGUUAUUCCAAAAUUAUAGAAAACAACAUUGUGCCUUUGCUUUUGUCUGAAGGAAAUAAAAUGUUUCCACAUAAAUUUUAGGUGCCAAAAUAGCUAAUUACUGUUAAAAUGUCACCAAAAUUAGUAACAUUGCUCAGAAAAUCAACUAUUUUCAACAGA
Molecule: long non-coding RNA, 574 nt
Filed under: Pongo abelii (Sumatran orangutan)
Lineage: Eukaryota; Metazoa; Chordata; Mammalia; Primates; Hominidae
Description: lincRNA
Source: RNAcentral